GGAGGGUAUGCGAAUGGCUAGCGGCCUGACUCGAAAUCAGGUGCCGGGAAACCGGUUGAGGGUUCGAAUCCCUUGCCCUCCG
This 82-nucleotide transfer RNA is filed under the name Pirellulales bacterium. RNAcentral describes it as "tRNA-Ser". It matches the Rfam family "tRNA". Rfam says of the family: Transfer RNA (tRNA) molecules are approximately 80 nucleotides in length. Their secondary structure includes four short double-helical elements and three loops (D, anti-codon, and T loops). Lineage: Bacteria; Pseudomonadati; Planctomycetota; Planctomycetia; Pirellulales. The record is from RNAcentral.